CUCAGCUCUUACAAACGGGCUAUUAGUGAAACAGUUAGUACAAGUCUUUUCUCAGUUAGCUUUCGAUACCUUUCGUCUAGAUCCUGCGAUAACUUUUGUUAAUAAUAUCCUAAAGUAGCCUUUGUUCGCAGUUCUAUUAUUUUUUAAAUUUUUAUUAAGGUAUCCCUAUGUCUAAAAUGACUGGUUCAGUAAAAUGGUUCAACGAAACUAAAGGUUUUGGCUUCAUCACUCAAGAUAACGGUGGCGCAGACGUAUUCGUUCACUUCAACUCUAUCGUUUCUGAUGGCUUCAAAACUCUAGCUGAAGGCCAAAAAGUAAGCUUCGACGUUGAGCAAGGCAAAAAAGGCCCUCAAGCGUCAAACGUUACAGCUCUAUAAUUAAGCUUUAAAACGUUAUAAGUAUUUUAAGGUGUGGUGAGCUUUCACCGCACCUUUUC
RNAcentral lists this small RNA (436 nucleotides) under Vibrio nereis. RNAcentral's name for it is "cspA thermoregulator". It matches the Rfam family "cspA thermoregulator". Lineage: Bacteria; Pseudomonadati; Pseudomonadota; Gammaproteobacteria; Vibrionales; Vibrionaceae. The record is from Rfam by way of RNAcentral.